RNAcentral lists this ribosomal RNA (2663 nucleotides) under Salmonella enterica subsp. enterica. RNAcentral's name for it is "partial 23S ribosomal RNA". It matches the Rfam family "Bacterial large subunit ribosomal RNA", at positions 201 to 2802 of the family's 2925-position model. Lineage: Bacteria; Pseudomonadati; Pseudomonadota; Gammaproteobacteria; Enterobacterales; Enterobacteriaceae. The record is from RNAcentral.
UCUAAGUACCCCGAGGAAAAGAAAUCAACCGAGAUUCCCCCAGUAGCGGCGAGCGAACGGGGAGGAGCCCAGAGCCUGAAUCAGCAUGUGUGUUAGUGGAAGCGUCUGGAAAGGCGCGCGAUACAGGGUGACAGCCCCGUACACAAAAGCGCAUGUGCUGUGAGCUCGAUGAGUAGGGCGGGACACGUGGUAUCCUGUCUGAAUAUGGGGGGACCAUCCUCCAAGGCUAAAUACUCCUGACUGACCGAUAGUGAACCAGUACCGUGAGGGAAAGGCGAAAAGAACCCCGGCGAGGGGAGUGAAAAAGAACCUGAAACCGUGUACGUACAAGCAGUGGGAGCACCCUUUGGGGUGUGACUGCGUACCUUUUGUAUAAUGGGUCAGCGACUUAUAUUCUGUAGCAAGGUUAACCGAAUAGGGGAGCCGUAGGGAAACCGAGUCUUAACCGGGCGUUAAGUUGCAGGGUAUAGACCCGAAACCCGGUGAUCUAGCCAUGGGCAGGUUGAAGGUUGGGUAACACUAACUGGAGGACCGAACCGACUAAUGUUGAAAAAUUAGCGGAUGACCUGUGGCUGGGGGUGAAAGGCCAAUCAAACCGGGAGAUAGCUGGUUCUCCCCGAAAGCUAUUUAGGUAGCGCCUCGUGAAUUCAUCUCCGGGGGUAGAGCACUGUUUCGGCUAGGGGGCCAUCCCGGCUUACCAACCCGAUGCAAACUGCGAAUACCGGAGAAUGUUAUCACGGGAGACACACGGCGGGUGCUAACGUCCGUCGUGAAGAGGGAAACAACCCAGACCGCCAGCUAAGGUCCCAAAGUCAUGGUUAAGUGGGAAACGAUGUGGGAAGGCCCAGACAGCCAGGAUGUUGGCUUAGAAGCAGCCAUCAUUUAAAGAAAGCGUAAUAGCUCACUGGUCGAGUCGGCCUGCGCGGAAGAUGUAACGGGGCUAAACCAUGCACCGAAGCUGCGGCAGCGAACGUAUCACCCAAGACAACUUUGCGGAGUUGACGAUUGACGGAGCGAAGCGACGUCAAAGCGUUCAUUAAAGUCGAGUUGGCUUAGGGAUACGUUCGUUGGGUAGGGGAGCGUUCUGUAAGCCAGUGAAGGUGUGUCGUGAGGCAUGCUGGAGGUAUCAGAAGUGCGAAUGCUGACAUAAGUAACGAUAAAGCGGGUGAAAAGCCCGCUCGCCGGAAGACCAAGGGUUCCUGUCCAACGUUAAUCGGGGCAGGGUGAGUCGACCCCUAAGGCGAGGCCGAAAGGCGUAGUCGAUGGGAAACGGGUUAAUAUUCCCGUACUUGGUGUUACUGCGAAGGGGGGACGGAGAAGGCUAUGUUGGCCGGGCGACGGUUGUCCCGGUUUAAGCGUGUAGGUGUGUGUUCCAGGUAAAUCCGGUUCACUUUAACACUGAGGCGUGACGACGAGGCACUACGGUGCUGAAGCAACAAAUGCCCUGCUUCCAGGAAAAGCCUCUAAGCAUCAGGUAACAUCAAAUCGUACCCCAAACCGACACAGGUGGUCAGGUAGAGAAUACCAAGGCGCUUGAGAGAACUCGGGUGAAGGAACUAGGCAAAAUGGUGCCGUAACUUCGGGAGAAGGCACGCUGACACGUAGGUGAAGUGAUUUACUCAUGGAGCUGAAGUCAGUCGAAGAUACCAGCUGGCUGCAACUGUUUAUUAAAAACACAGCACUGUGCAAACACGAAAGUGGACGUAUACGGUGUGACGCCUGCCCGGUGCCGGAAGGUUAAUUGAUGGGGUCAGCGCAAGCGAAGCUCCUGAUCGAAGCCCCGGUAAACGGCGGCCGUAACUAUAACGGUCCUAAGGUAGCGAAAUUCCUUGUCGGGUAAGUUCCGACCUGCACGAAUGGCGUAAUGAUGGCCAGGCUGUCUCCACCCGAGACUCAGUGAAAUUGAACUCGCUGUGAAGAUGCAGUGUACCCGCGGCAAGACGGAAAGACCCCGUGAACCUUUACUAUAGCUUGACACUGAACAUUGAGCCUUGAUGUGUAGGAUAGGUGGGAGGCUUUGAAGCGUGGACGCCAGUCUGCGUGGAGCCGACCUUGAAAUACCACCCUUUAAUGUUUGAUGUUCUAACGUGGACCCGUGAUCCGGGUUGCGGACAGUGUCUGGUGGGUAGUUUGACUGGGGCGGUCUCCUCCUAAAGAGUAACGGAGGAGCACGAAGGUUGGCUAAUCCUGGUCGGACAUCAGGAGGUUAGUGCAAUGGCAUAAGCCAGCUUGACUGCGAGCGUGACGGCGCGAGCAGGUGCGAAAGCAGGUCAUAGUGAUCCGGUGGUUCUGAAUGGAAGGGCCAUCGCUCAACGGAUAAAAGGUACUCCGGGGAUAACAGGCUGAUACCGCCCAAGAGUUCAUAUCGACGGCGGUGUUUGGCACCUCGAUGUCGGCUCAUCACAUCCUGGGGCUGAAGUAGGUCCCAAGGGUAUGGCUGUUCGCCAUUUAAAGUGGUACGCGAGCUGGGUUUAGAACGUCGUGAGACAGUUCGGUCCCUAUCUGCCGUGGGCGCUGGAGAACUGAGGGGGGCUGCUCCUAGUACGAGAGGACCGGAGUGGACGCAUCACUGGUGUUCGGGUUGUCAUGCCAAUGGCACUGCCCGGUAGCUAAAUGCGGAAGAGAUAAGUGCUGAAAGCAUCUAAGCACGAAACUUGCCCCGA